ACACAGCAGGGCUAUUCCAUGCCCCACGACUCCGUCCGCUCAUUAAUCUGGACCAGAGCGCUGCACUAAUCAGCUUGUGAACCAAAGUCUGCUCCAUUUUGCAACACUCACUUUGAUAUUACGUCUAUUUGCUAUUCAGACCGAGGAGGAUGGGCGCAAUGCAAACAGACACGGCGCCCCGGCCUGUGACAGCACGGAGCCACAGACGCAGCUACACACACUCCAUAACGCGCUCCCACGCAGGACACGCGGAAAAGCGGCACCUAAAUGUCACUUGCAGAGCGAAAGCAGAAAAUUGGGCUUCUCAUGUACCGUGUCUUCCCCCGCGAGUUGUCUUCACCUCCACCUACUCCCACAGUGGCUGGAUCUGUCCAGAGAAAAUAAAGAAAAAAAGGGAAAUGCUGGCCUGCCUAGACUCUGCUUCCAAGAGCAUGGUGGACUGCAGAGGACAGCAUUUCUGUGUGCAUCAAAAGAAUGAAGAAAUUUCAGCUUACAAAACAGGGCGAACAAGUCAAUAUGGAUCUGAGGUCUGGCCGACUUCAAUCCCAUGUGGGGCGGGGGGGACGCAGGGCACAACGAUGUAUUAAAACUUUUCCCUGCCCACUGCGAAGUCGAACUUGGAGACAGAUUAAAAAGUUGAAAAAAGCGAAAGAUGUUCAAUCUUUGGUGAGGUUUUUUUUUAGAUGCAUGCACUUUCAGCUGAAAGAAAAGGGAUGGAGAAAUCACUAAUCUCUUUCAUCAAAAGUGAAACUAGCGCAUUGCUGAUGAUGCUACUGCAUUGAAUCAACUCCAGCUUCCCCAGUAACUGUAGGUCAUUUUGUUCAGGGAGCAGACAGGAAGCAGUUGCCAGUAAUAUAAAAUACAUUUCAGUUGCAAUGCAGCUUUCACAUCUAAAAAGGAAAGGAGGACUAAUAGGAAAUGGCGUGGUUUCCCCAAAUGAGGAUUACUUUGUAAUAAGCACUUUAUUUUCCUUGGACCUGUCUGGUUUCAGUGCGCCUGGUUCUGUGUCCCAUAUUGGGCCAAAAUGGCCACGUGAAUGCUUUGGAGGUCCCAGCAUUCCAGGGCUAAUGCUGCGCAGCUGGAGCAGGUUGGUGUCUAAUGAAAAUUCUCACUUUGAUGGGCCCUCCUCAAGGAUUAGGUUCUGAUCGACACCACCUUAGGCCAGCUUCCUGCUAGACCAGCACAAGAUUACGGGUGAUUUAGCAGCUUUGGGUCUAGUUUCUGUGGUGGCAAGAGAAGCAAAUAUUACACAUAAAGGGAAAAAGGAAACCUCAGAGUUCUAAUUGAAGUACAUUCUGGUUCACCAAGAUAGCAAAGAGUAAAGCUGGAUAAUAGCUUGCCAAUCUCUGAAUGACCCUUAAAUCCAAUCUUCACACUACAGCGCAUUUCAAAACAAUAUAUCCUAUGAUAUGAGGGUCAAGCAGAUACACAGGUACACUUACUUACUGUACUUAAUAUAGAGGAAUCUUAAAUGUUGAAGAACAUUAUUUUAUAAUACGCAACAUUUGAUUUGGAGUAAUAUUUCUAUUGUGUGAGACCCAUUCUCUGGUGCACAGAGACUCCACUUGAGAUGAUUCACCUUGUUGUUUCUGCUGUCAACCAAUACAGUGAACUGCAGUUGCAGUUUCUCUGUCAACUGACUGAUGACUCAGCGUGACCCUCCAUCCACCAACCUUUUCCUGAACGGAGUCCCUCUCCUUCUGGUGGCUUCUCUCCAGGUCACAGCGGAUCUGAUCCAUUCUGGAGCGAAGCCGGUCCUGUGCUGCCUCCUUGUCCAGGAACCACCGUUGCUUCUCCUCCUCCCGAAGCAAUGCCAUCUCAACCAGCUGUUGCUUGUGCUGAGCGUGGGCCCCCUGCAGUUCCUCACGUACACUCUGCAACUGGGCUUCCAAAUCUGAAAUAAUCUGAGAAGCAAAAGAUACAAAUACACAUAAUGUUUAACUAAUGCCCUGCAGAUACGUUAGAACACUCACACAACUACAGUAGCAUAGGUAUUUUUAUCUAUUGAUUGUGUACAGAUGUGUAUUAAUAACAAUUAUGGAUGUCCCAAUUUGAGAUAUAUUAAAACAUAUUGAUACAUUUUGAUGAAUAUUUGAGUGAUGACACUGGAGGGCCUGCACAGUAACUAACUGUACCUAAGCAAAAAAGUUUCACAAGUUCGCCUUAAUGUUUGUUUUCCGCUGUGGGAAUGUGUGGGGGCCGCUGCUAUGGCCGACCCCUCUCUUGACCUCUCUCGUUUUGAACUUCUCUGUCUUGACUUUGCCCAGAAGAGCCCUUUAAUAGCGCUGCCAGUGAGAGACAACAUAACAUAGUAGGAAUUCUAAUGAGUACAACCCCCGUGGCCUCGAAAACACCAGAAAUAGGACUGGCCACCAUGUGAAGUUACUGUACAUGUACAAAUCCAGAGUUCGGAAAAGAUGAGCUUACGGUUCUGUUAAAACAGUUAUUUUCUACUAUAAUUUCAAAUUAGUGUUAAGUACAAGGUUCAUAAUAAGAAGCGUGUGCGUUUAUAUUUUUGUAAUUGUGUCAAUUACGGUGGCCACUAAAGAUAAAGUACAUGGAAAUUCAAAAAAGGGAAGUGCUAACCACAAAACAAAGGUUGACACACAAACAGACAGAAAGAAAAUCGCAAAAUGCAAAAAACAAAACAAAACAAAAAAAAAAAAAACAGAA
Long non-coding RNA from Betta splendens (Siamese fighting fish), 2673 nucleotides. RefSeq lists it as uncharacterized. Lineage: Eukaryota; Metazoa; Chordata; Actinopteri; Anabantiformes; Osphronemidae. The transcript has 3 exons. The record is from RefSeq and is a predicted model, not a curated record.